RNAcentral lists this non-coding RNA (25 nucleotides) under Mus musculus (house mouse). The record is from RNAcentral. Lineage: Eukaryota; Metazoa; Chordata; Mammalia; Rodentia; Muridae.
UAAAGCAGGACAGGUACUGACCAGG